Molecule: ribosomal RNA, 523 nt
Filed under: uncultured Veillonellaceae bacterium
Lineage: Bacteria; Bacillati; Bacillota; Negativicutes; Veillonellales; Veillonellaceae
Description: bacterial SSU rRNA
Rfam family: Bacterial small subunit ribosomal RNA
Source: RNAcentral
UUUCGGUAAAUUCUUAGUGGCGAACGGGUGAGUAACGCGUAGGCAACCUGCCCUUUGGAUGGGGACAACAUUCCGAAAGGAGUGCUAAUACCGAAUGUGAUCCAUUUCUCGCAUGAGAGAUGGAUGAAAGAUGGCCUCUAUUUAUAAGCUAUCGCCAAAGGAUGGGCCUGCGUCUGAUUAGUUAGUUGGUGGGGUAACGGCUCACCAAGACGAUGAUCAGUAGCCGGUCUGAGAGGAUGAACGGCCACAUUGGGACUGAGACACGGCCCAAACUCCUACGGGAGGCAGCAGUGGGGAAUCUUCCGCAAUGGACGAAAGUCUGACGGAGCAACGCCGCGUGAGUGAUGAAGGUUUUCGGACUGUAAAACUCUGUUGUCAGGGACGAAGGUGCGAUCUGCGAAUAGUUGAUCGUAUUGACGGUACCUGACGAGGAAGCCACGGCUAACUACGUGCCAGCAGCCGCGGUAAUACGUAGGUGGCAAGCGUUGUCCGGAAUUAUUGGGCGUAAAGAGCAUGUAGGUGG